UACGGAGACUGCAAGCGUUAUUCGGAUUCACUGGGCGUAAAGGGUGCGCAGGCGGCCAUGUGUGUGAGGCGUGAAAGCCCGGGGCUUAACCCCGGAAUUGCACCUCAAACUACAUGGCUAGAGCAUUGGAGAGGGUAGCAGAAUUCACGGUGUAGCAGUGAAAUGCGUAGAUAUCGUGAGGAAUACCAGAGGCGAAGGCGGCUACCUGGACAAUUGCUGACGCUCAGGCACGAAAGCGUGGGGAGCAAAAGGG
Molecule: ribosomal RNA, 253 nt
Filed under: uncultured bacterium
Lineage: Bacteria
Description: partial 16S ribosomal RNA
Rfam family: Bacterial small subunit ribosomal RNA
Source: RNAcentral